Molecule: transfer RNA, 74 nt
Filed under: Candidatus Ancillula kalotermitis
Lineage: Bacteria; Bacillati; Actinomycetota; Actinomycetes; Bifidobacteriales; Bifidobacteriaceae
Description: tRNA-Pro
Rfam family: tRNA
About the family: Transfer RNA (tRNA) molecules are approximately 80 nucleotides in length.
Source: RNAcentral
CGGGAUGUAGCGCAGCUUGGUAGCGCACCUCGUUCGGGACGAGGGGGUCGAGUGUUCAAAUCACUUCAUCCCGA